Molecule: small RNA, 40 nt
Filed under: Arabidopsis thaliana (thale cress)
Lineage: Eukaryota; Viridiplantae; Streptophyta; Magnoliopsida; Brassicales; Brassicaceae
Description: ATSL265940
Source: RNAcentral
AUUGAGUCUACAUUCAUCUAAGGCAUAGAAAAACCAAAAA